This 257-nucleotide long non-coding RNA is filed under the name Elaeis guineensis (African oil palm). RNAcentral's name for it is "long non-coding RNA (EGUI_LNC053198)". The record is from RNAcentral. Lineage: Eukaryota; Viridiplantae; Streptophyta; Magnoliopsida; Arecales; Arecaceae.
GCCCGGAUUGGAAUUUGAAUUAUACUUCAUAUUGUGUUUUAUGGUUCUAACCUUAGCUAAAUUUAAUUUAGCUUGGAUUUCAGCCCAGAUUAUGGUCGACCCAUGCCUUGCUCGAAACAUGGUCCGGAUUAUGCACUUAUUAAAUUAUAACCCUAAUCAAGCCAGGUGCCUAGUAUAUAUUGACACUCGGUCAGUACGCUUCAAAGCAUGAUUCAUAUCCAUCCAUAUAUGGAACCAAAAAUAAAUACAUUUAUAUG